GGCCGCGGGAAUUCGAUUCACCCAUAACACAUGCAAGUCGAGCGACCAAUAAAAAAAAGAGCGGCGAACGGGUGAGUAACACGUAGGUGAUCUGCCCAUCAGACGGGGACAACGAUUGGAAACGAUCGCUAAUACCGGAUAGGAUGAAAGUUUAAAGGUGCUCCUGGCACCGCUGAUGGAUGAGCCUGCGGCGCAUUAGCUAGUUGGUAGGGUAAAGGCCUACCAAGGCGACGAUGCGUAGCCGACCUGAGAGGGUGAACGGCCACACUGGGACUGAGACACGGCCCAGACUCCUACGGGAGGCAGCAGUAGGGAAUCUUCGGCAAUGGGCGAAAGCCU
This 339-nucleotide ribosomal RNA is filed under the name uncultured bacterium. RNAcentral's name for it is "bacterial SSU rRNA". It matches the Rfam family "Bacterial small subunit ribosomal RNA", at positions 47 to 384 of the family's 1533-position model. The record is from RNAcentral.